UAGGGAAUCUUCCACAAUGGACGCAAGGCUGAUGGAGCAACGCCGCGUGAGUGAAGAAGGUUUUCGGAUCGUAAAGCUCUGUUGUUGGUGAAGAAGGAUAGAGGCAGUAACUGGUCUUUAUUUGACGGUAAUCAACCAGAAAGUCACGGCUAACUACGUGCCAGCAGCCGCGGUAAUACGUAGGUGGCAAGCGUUGUCCGGAUUUAUUGGGCGUAAAGCGAGCGCAGGCGGAAUGAUAAGUCUGAUGUGAAAGCCCACGGCUCAACCGUGGAACUGCAUCGGAAACUGUCAUUCUUGAGUGCAGAAGAGGAGAGUGGAAUUCCAUGUGUAGCGGUGGAAUGCGUAGAUAUAUGGAAGAACACCAGUGGCGAAGGCGGCUCUCUGGUCUGCAACUGACGCUGAGGCUCGAAAGCAUGGGUAGCGAACAGG
RNAcentral lists this ribosomal RNA (429 nucleotides) under bacterium. RNAcentral describes it as "partial 16S ribosomal RNA". It matches the Rfam family "Bacterial small subunit ribosomal RNA", at positions 355 to 776 of the family's 1533-position model. The record is from RNAcentral.